CUUGCUCUCGGGUGACGAGCGGCGGACGGGUGAGUAAUGUCUGGGAAACUGCCUGAUGGAGGGGGAUAACUACUGGAAACGGUAGCUAAUACCGCAUAACGUCGCAAGACCAAAGAGGGGGACCUUCGGGCCUCUUGCCAUCAGAUGUGCCCAGAUGGGAUUAGCUAGUAGGUGGGGUAAUGGCUCACCUAGGCGACGAUCCCUAGCUGGUCUGAGAGGAUGACCAGCCACACUGGAACUGAGACACGGUCCAGACUCCUACGGGAGGCAGCAGUGGGGAAUAUUGCACAAUGGGCGCAAGCCUGAUGCAGCCAUGCCGCGUGUAUGAAGAAGGCCUUCGGGUUGUAAAGUACUUUCAGCGAGGAGGAAGGCAUUGUGGUUAAUAACCGCAGUGAUUGACGUUACUCGCAGAAGAAGCACCGGCUAACUCCGUGCCAGCAGCCGCGGUAAUACGGAGGGUGCAAGCGUUAAUCGGAAUUACUGGGCGUAAAGCGCACGCAGGCGGUCUGUCAAGUCGGAUGUGAAAUCCCCGGGCUCAACCUGGGAACUGCAUUCGAAACUGGC
RNAcentral lists this ribosomal RNA (564 nucleotides) under Enterobacter sp. enrichment culture clone EST421_EN1. RNAcentral's name for it is "bacterial SSU rRNA". It matches the Rfam family "Bacterial small subunit ribosomal RNA", at positions 75 to 637 of the family's 1533-position model. The record is from RNAcentral. Lineage: Bacteria; Pseudomonadati; Pseudomonadota; Gammaproteobacteria; Enterobacterales; Enterobacteriaceae.